GCGACCAAGCAACAAACGUCAGUCGCGCUAUGCCACGCAUCAAGAGAUCACCGCCUGCAUAACUUGACGUUACGUUUCGGAACGUUCCAUUCGAAAUUCGAACGCAUUUGAAUGAAAAAGGCGCGAAAGUAGAAUGUGUCAUAGAUUUAUUUUUCUUUUUUGACGGCCAGUAAUGCUUUGUUUUUAAUUUGUGUUUCGGUUGACAUCGUUUGUUUUAAUGCCAGAAAAUGAUAUUGACCAAGGGAUUUGAUGUUUUUGUUGCCAUUUUCGUAAUUGUUUUAUCAAGAGUGUGCACUGCUUGUUUUAUCGGAAACGAAUAUGAAAAGUUCACAGGAACGACGGGCUCCACUUACGUCAAAAACUGCGAAUGCAAAGAAGUCGGGUACUCGGUAAAGCAUUUAAUAUGGCUGGAUCCGGACGGCAACGCAAUCAAUGGACCAGAUUUGAGCAAUCCGAACAUAUACACGGAGAUCCAAGAUCACAACGGCACGGGUAUACUGAGCCUCGUGGUGAGGAGCAUCAGCAAAUCCAUGGCGGGAAACUAUACGUGCCAGACAAACUUCGAGGGAAAUACGUAUAGCCAGACUUAUAAUAUUGAAGCAUAUGAUAGUCCGUACUUUGUGAACACGACUGAGGAUCAGAAUAUUAUCAUCGGAGAAGACUCGAUAGUUAGAUGCGAAGUGCGAGGAAUCGCAGACUACGAGAUAGUUUGGUACCGAAUCACAGAUCGAGCGGAUGUGCCUUUGGUCAACGACAUGAAGUACAAGAUAUUGCCUGAGCAUGGCCUACUCAUCAGAAAUGUCAAUAAAGAGGACGCUGGGUUCUACAACUGCACAGUCAAUAACAUUGUCAUAGGGGAUUCAUUACCAAUACGUAUCAAUGUACAGGCAGCGGCAAGACCAGUGAUAUUUGAACCGAAAUUUAACAUUCCUCCGGAGGCCAUAGUUGUCGGCAACUCAGUGGUUGUGGAGUGCCUUGCGGAAGCCAUACCGUACCCCGAAUAUACCUGGACAAAGAUUACUGAUGAGUUCGGAAAUCCUAUAGAAAAAGCAAACUCGACGUGGAGACCAAUGGUUAAUACAAUAAAAUUCGAUAGCAUUAAAAAAGAAGAUGCAGGGACAUAUGUAUGCACCGCAACCAACACUGUGGAUAGUGCAGCUAUAAACGUACCCAUUAGUGUCAAGGUUCCGCCAGUAAUAACGUUCCUGGAGAACGUCACCGUGGUGGAAGGCAACGCGGCACAGAUCGCCUGCAAGGCUACCGGAGUGCCGGCCCCUGAACUCAUUAUAGAGACCAGUCUGGACGGAUUGGAGACGGAUCAAAGGGUAUCAACAGCCAUCAUGCACCCAUCACCGGACACGUCGGAGCUAUACUUGACAAUUAUGAACGUCUCCAGACCAUGCGAGGGCAUCUUCAGAUGCAGCGCAGCUAAUGCAGUCAACAACGUUACGCAGGAAAUGUACUUGACCGUCCUGUACGCGCCAUAUUUCCCCGUUCAAAACGAGACCAUUUGGGGCUGGCACAACCACACGGUCAACAUGAGCUGCGCCCACGCAAGCAACCCGCCGUCCGCAAUAGUAUGGAAGUUCCUUGGAAGUGAAAGUCGUGAAACAACUACAGCAGAACAUGAUCAGGUCAAUAAAAUACUUCAAGAACUAAAUGAUGGCAGUACAGAGCAAUACUUAGCCCUGCAAAUCGACGCUAAUAAGUAUGGAGAAUACGAGUGCACAGCUGUCAAUCCUUAUGGAAAUACUACGAAGAGAAUAUACUUGAGAGAAGCGUUUAAACCGACGGCUAUCAAAAAUAGAACAAUCAUAAGCAUGACAGCAACAUCCGUAACAUUCCAAAUCCAAGGCCCGGACGCCGCAGACAACGCCCCCGUACGCGGCUACGUCGCAGAGUACGACAUUGUGGAGAACUUUGCCAUCACCAGCCACCAUAACAUAAGCUAUUGCGGCGUGGAAAGGAACUUCACAAUAGACCGGCUGAAGCCCAACAGGACGUAUUCGAUUAAGUUCGCAGCACAAAAUGCGGUUGGUGACGGCGAGUGGUCGGAGCCUUUUGAAUUCGUGACCCCUGAAUCGUCCGCUCCUGAACCGCCCACAGAGGUGUGGGGCAAUCAAGGCAAGCUCAGGUGGAAGGCGCCCGAGCCAAACGGCGAGCCCAUCGACCAUUACAGCGUCGAGUUCUGCCCGUUUGUCGGCGAAAUUGUCAACCACACGCUCUGCCAAAAAGACAACGUGUCAGAAACCGCGUUCCCACUUGAGAAGUUAGAGAGGAACGCUAAAUACAAGUUCGGGAUAAGUGCACACAACUCUCAGGGCUACUCGGAUUACACAUAUAAGGAGAUAAAGACGCCAGCAAAAAUAUUCGGCGAAGGCCUACUGUCCGCGGGCGCUGUCAUCGGCAUAUCGGUGGUGGCCGUGUUCCUCUGCCUUCUAGUGCUGGACCUGCUCCUACUGUGCUGGAGGAAGCAGGGCAUCAUCGCGAGCUGCUACUUUAGGAAGAACAAGAAGAAAACUGACAACCUUAAUUCCCGGUAUGUUUGAUAUUUAGGACCUUGCUCAUAUAGGAUCUGCUAUUGCUAUGCUUAGAAAGAACAAAUAGAAAUUGAUAAUACGAGUAUGAAUUCCCGGUAAGUGCUGUAUAUUGGUGGUGGCGUUCCUCUGCCUUCUAGUGCUGGACCUGCUCCUACUGUGCUGGAGGAAGCAGGGCAUCAUCGCGAGCUGCUACUUUAGGAAGAACAAGAAGAAAACUGACAACCUUAAUUCCCGGGACAAGAAAGGGCUGCUAGUGACCGAAGGCGAACGAGCCGAUGACCGGCCCAACAACGGCGGCCACAGAGAACUGGUGUACAACAAGACCACGGGCGUCAUCACGGGGAAGCACUCCUCCGUGUAGCUUUAAUAGACCACCGAUAUCGUGCACGAAUGAUUUUGUACAUUAAUCUUUAAUAGCUCCUCUACAAGAUGGGCCAGCGCCGGCCACUCCAAGGGACGCAGCCAUGCGGUAGAAUGAGAUAGCUAUAUCACUUGCUCCCUCUAACGCAUAAAUGCGUCCCUUGGCACCCGGCGCUGGCCUGGCCCAUCGUGUAGAGGAGCCAUAAUACAAGCGACCACAGGUAACUGGUGUGACAAUGAGACCACAGAAGUCAUCACGGGGAAGCACUCCUCCGUGUAGCUUUAAUAGACCACCGAUAACGUGCACGAAUGAUUCCGUAAAUUGACCUUUAAGGAUGACUCACGCUAGACCGGGUCGUGCCCGGCCAGAGGCGUCCGACAUGUCAUUUUCUAUGACGGCUGAUCGGUGAUCACGUGGUGCUUUCUAUAGAAAAUGAAGCUUCGGAAGUUCCGGGGGUUAUUUGCGGACGGUCUAGAACGCAAAAUGACUAGUGUAGUAGACCGUUCGCGAUGUAGACUAAAAGCGAUAUAGGCAAAAUAUUACACUAGUCAUUUUGCGUUCUAGACCGUCCGCGACUAUGCCAUGGCCCAGUCUAACGUGAGUCAUCCUCCAUGGGUUAUCACGGGAAAACACUCGUCAGUUCAGCUUUAAUAAACCACCGAUAUCGUGCACGAAUAAUUUCGUACGUUGACCUCUACUACAGCUACAGCUGAAUGGUGUUACAGGAUUUAAAUACUACAGGCCCCGUAGACAACAUGCCAAUCGCUAACGCUACGUAGCGAACGAAACGCAACUGUCACUGUCACACUAAUAUGGAAGAGUGAUAGAGAAACACAAAGCGUUUCGAUGGCGAAGCGCAAGCGAUCGUCAUCUUGGCUAGGCCGCCUGGAGUCAUCAUGGGGAAGCAUUCCCUCAGUGUAGCUUUAAUAAACCACCAACCUCGUACAGACUUAUAACUAUGUCGAUAUUUUGUGUGGAACACCUGAUUUAACGAUUUCGAGGUUUUUAUUACUAAGUAAUAAAUUGCUCUGUGUGAUAUUUUGUUACACAGUACCUCUUGUCACACAUAACAGAAUCAACCUGUACGCUUCUCUGUUACUGGGACAAUGCAAAAUUGUACCUAUUGCCGUCGCAUACUCUCGCCUUUUUGAUCGCGUGCGACAUUUAAAAAAUUUUUGCGAUAUACAGAGAUAGGUACGAGUAUGUAAUGACAUGACAGGUUAAAGUACGAAAUUCUUCAUGCACGGUGACCACACUUUAGCAGUUAAAUUGUAAAUGUACCAAAGUUAAAUAAAUAUUGUAUUUUUUUUCUUACACAUUUCAUACAACAAAGUGCCAAUACCUAUACAUUAUCAUACACAACCAUUAUUUAAGUUAAUUUGUGUUCUGAAGAAUCACAAAACAUGAUUGUAUGACACAUUUAAGAACAAAAAGAUAAAAAAUAAAUAAAACAA
RNA transcript from Cydia fagiglandana, 4355 nucleotides. It is a transcript of the gene named fasciclin-2-like, with no coding region annotated. The transcript has 16 exons. The record is from RefSeq and is a predicted model, not a curated record. Lineage: Eukaryota; Metazoa; Arthropoda; Insecta; Lepidoptera; Tortricidae.